RNAcentral lists this ribosomal RNA (570 nucleotides) under uncultured bacterium. Its description in RNAcentral is "partial 16S ribosomal RNA". It matches the Rfam family "Bacterial small subunit ribosomal RNA", at positions 355 to 913 of the family's 1533-position model. The record is from RNAcentral.
UGGGGAAUAUUGCACAAUGGGCGCAAGCCUGAUGCAGCCAUGCCGCGUGUGUGAAGAAGGCCUUCGGGUUGUAAAGCACUUUCAGCGAGGAGGAAGGUGGUGAGCUUAAUACGCUCAUCAAUUGACGUUACUCGCAGAAGAAGCACCGGCUAACUCCGUGCCAGCAGCCGCGGUAAUACGGAGGGUGCAAGCGUUAAUCGGAAUUACUGGGCGUAAAGCGCACGCAGGCGGUUUGUUAAGUCAGAUGUGAAAUCCCCCGGGCUCAACCUGGGAACUGCAUUUGAAACUGGCAAGCUAGAGUCUCGUAGAGGGGGGUAGAAUUCCAGGUGUAGCGGUGAAAUGCGUAGAGAUCUGGAGGAAUACCGGUGGCGAAGGCGGCCCCCCUGGACGAAGACUGACGCUCAGGUGCGAAAGCGUGGGGCAGCAAACAGGAUUAGAUACCCUGGUAGUCCACGCUGUAAACGAUGUCGAUUUUGGAGGUUGUGCCCUUGAGGCGUGGNUUCCGGAGCUAACGNGUUAAAUCGACCGCCUGGGGAGUACGGCCNCAAGGUUAAAACUUAAAGGAAUUGC